This 443-nucleotide ribosomal RNA is filed under the name uncultured bacterium. Its description in RNAcentral is "partial 16S ribosomal RNA". It matches the Rfam family "Bacterial small subunit ribosomal RNA", at positions 338 to 795 of the family's 1533-position model. The record is from RNAcentral.
CCUACGUGAUGCAGCAGUGGGGAAUAUUUGGCAAUGGGCGCACGCCUGACCCAGCAACGCCGCGUGAAGGAAGAAGGCUCUCGGGUUGUAAACUUCUUUUAUCAGGGACGAAUCAAGUGACGUUACCUGAUGAAUAAGCCACGGCUAACUACGUGCCAGCAGCCGCGUUAAUACGUAGGUGGCAAGCGUUAUCCGGAUUUACUGGUUGUAAAGGGCGUGUAGGCGGUUAAGCAAGUCAGAUGUGAAAACUAUGGGCUCAACCCCUGGCCUGCAUUUGAAACUGUACUUCUUGAGUGCUGGAGAGGCAAUCGGAAUUCCGUGUGUAGCGGUGAAAUGCGUAGAUAUUAGGAGGAACACCAGUGGCGAAGGCGGAUGGCUGGACAGUAACUGACGCUGAGGCGCGAAAGCGUGGGGAGCAAACAGGAUUAGAUACCCUUGUAGUC